This 268-nucleotide small nuclear RNA is filed under the name Nannospalax galili (Upper Galilee mountains blind mole rat). RNAcentral's name for it is "7SK RNA (ENSNGAG00000005880.1)". It matches the Rfam family "7SK RNA". Rfam says of the family: 7SK was discovered as an abundant small nuclear RNA in the mid-70s but a possible function has only recently been suggested. Two independent studies have found that 7SK RNA binds the CDK9/cyclin T complex (known as elongation factor P-TEFb). Lineage: Eukaryota; Metazoa; Chordata; Mammalia; Rodentia; Spalacidae. The record is from RNAcentral.
GGGUGAUCUGGCUACCACAUACUCAUUGAUGAGUUGUUUUUAGCUAAUAUGCCAUCCCCAUCCCUCCCAAAGCUGCAUACUCUGUGGAAAAUUAUAACCUCUUUCUCCAAUAGAAGAGGACUAAUUUUCAAUCAAAGAUACACAAGUAGUUGCACUUCCUUGUUAGAACCCCCAGGCAAGCUCUCAAGGUCCAUUUAUUGACUGUAGUGAGUAGUAAAGCUUCUAAGAUUCGAUCCACAUAAGGCACUGCAGGUUACAGUCUUUUCUU